Molecule: ribosomal RNA, 481 nt
Filed under: uncultured bacterium
Lineage: Bacteria
Description: bacterial SSU rRNA
Rfam family: Bacterial small subunit ribosomal RNA
Source: RNAcentral
AUUGAACGCUGGCGGCAGGCCUAACACAUGCAAGUCGAGCGGAAACGAUCCUAGCUUGCUAGGAGGCGUCGAGCGGCGGACGGGUGAGUAAUGCAUAGGAAUCUGCCCGGUAGUGGGGGAUAACGUGGGGAAACUCACGCUAAUACCGCAUACGCCCUACGGGGGAAAGCAGGGGAUCUUCGGACCUUGCGCUAUCGGAUGAGCCUAUGUCGGAUUAGCUUGUUGGUGAGGUAAUGGCUCACCAAGGCGACGAUCCGUAGCUGGUCUGAGAGGAUGAUCAGCCACACUGGGGACUGAGACACGGGCCCAGACUCCUACGGGAGGCAGGCAGUGGGGAAUAUUGGACAAUGGGCGAAAGCCUGAUCCAGCCAUGCCGCGUGUGUGAAGAAGGCUUUCGGGUUGUAAAGCACUUUCAGCGAGGAAGAAGGCCUGACGGUUAAUACCUGUCAGGAAGGACAUCACUCGCAGAAGAAGCACCGGC